AGAGUUUGAUCAUGGCUCAGAUUGAACGCUGGCGGCAUGCGUAACACAUGCAAGUCGAACGGGGAUGUGUGCGUGCAUACAUUCGAGUGGCGGACGGGUGAGUAGUGCGUAGGAAUCUGUCUUAGAGAGGGGGAUAACCCGAGGAAACUUGGGCUAACACCGCAUGAACUCGGAAGAGAAAAGCAGGGGACCUGAAAGGG
Molecule: ribosomal RNA, 200 nt
Filed under: uncultured bacterium
Lineage: Bacteria
Description: partial 16S ribosomal RNA
Rfam family: Bacterial small subunit ribosomal RNA
Source: RNAcentral